GAUGAACGCUGGCGGCGUGCCUAAUACAUGCAAGUCGAGCGAACGGACGAGAAGCUUGCUUUUCUGAUGUUAGCGGCGGACGGGUGAGUAACACGUGGAUAACCUACCUAUAAGACUGGGAUAACUUCGGGAAACCGGAGCUAAUACCGGAUAAUAUUUUGAACCGCAUGGUUCAAAAGUGAAAGACGGUCUUGCUGUCACUUAUAGAUGGAUCCGCGCUGCAUUAGCUAGUUGGUAAGGUAACGGCUUACCAAGGCAACGAUGCAUAGCCGACCUGAGAGGGUGCUCGGCCAAACUGGACCUGAGACACGGUCCAGACUCCUACGGGAGGCAGCAGUAGGGAAUCUUCCGCAAUGGGCGAAAGCCUGACGGAGCAACGCCGCGUGAGUGAUGAAGGUCUUCGGAUCGUAAAACUCUGUUAUUAGGGAAGAACAUAUGUGUAAGUAACUGUGCACAUCUUGACGGUACCUAAUCAGAAAGCCACGGCUAACUACGGGC
This 498-nucleotide ribosomal RNA is filed under the name uncultured bacterium. RNAcentral describes it as "partial 16S ribosomal RNA". It matches the Rfam family "Bacterial small subunit ribosomal RNA", at positions 28 to 508 of the family's 1533-position model. The record is from RNAcentral.